AUUGAACGCUGGCGGCAGGCCUAACACAUGCAAGUCGAACGAGUGGCGGACGGGUGAGUAAUGUCUGGGAAACUGCCUGAUGGAGGGGGAUAACUACUGGAAACGGUAGCUAAUACCGCAUACCAUCGGAUGUGCCCAGAUGGGAUUAGCUAGUAGGUGGGGUAAAGGCUCACCUAGGCGACGCGCCCUAGCUGGUCUGAGAGGAGGACCGGCCAAACUGGACCGGGGACACGGUCCAGACGCUUACGGGAGGAAGCAGUGGGAAAUAUUGGACAAUGGGCGCAAGCCUGAUGCAGCCAUGCGGCGUGUAUGAAGAGGGCCUUCGGGUUGUAAAGUACUUUCAGCGGGGAGGCGUUACCCGCAGAAGAAGCACCGGCUAACUCCGUGCCAGCAGCCGCGGUAAUAC
Molecule: ribosomal RNA, 406 nt
Filed under: uncultured bacterium
Lineage: Bacteria
Description: partial 16S ribosomal RNA
Rfam family: Bacterial small subunit ribosomal RNA
Source: RNAcentral